Molecule: transfer RNA, 83 nt
Filed under: Nanobdellota archaeon
Lineage: Archaea; Nanobdellati; Nanobdellota
Description: tRNA-Ser
Rfam family: tRNA
About the family: Transfer RNA (tRNA) molecules are approximately 80 nucleotides in length. Their secondary structure includes four short double-helical elements and three loops (D, anti-codon, and T loops).
Source: RNAcentral
GGCAAGAUCGGAUAAUCUGGUAUUCCGCAAGACUGGAAAUCUUGUCCCAAUUGGGAUUCUGGGUUCAAAUCCCAGUCUUGCCG